This 225-nucleotide ribosomal RNA is filed under the name uncultured Thorsellia sp. RNAcentral's name for it is "partial 16S ribosomal RNA". It matches the Rfam family "Bacterial small subunit ribosomal RNA", at positions 568 to 792 of the family's 1533-position model. The record is from RNAcentral. Lineage: Bacteria; Pseudomonadati; Pseudomonadota; Gammaproteobacteria; Enterobacterales; Thorselliaceae.
CGUGUAGGCGGUAUCAUAAGUCAGAUGUGAAAUCCCCGCGCUUAACGUGGGCAUUGCAUUUGAAACUAUGUAGCUAGAGUUCUGUAGAGGGGGGUAGAAUUCCAGGUGUAGCGGUGAAAUGCGUAGAGAUCUGGAGGAAUACCGAUUGCGAAGGCAGCCCCCUGGACAGUGACUGACGCUCAUAUGCGAAAGCGUGGGGAUCAAACAGGAUUAGAUACCCUCGUA